This 253-nucleotide ribosomal RNA is filed under the name uncultured bacterium. RNAcentral describes it as "partial 16S ribosomal RNA". It matches the Rfam family "Bacterial small subunit ribosomal RNA", at positions 524 to 776 of the family's 1533-position model. The record is from RNAcentral.
UACAGAGGUCUCAAGCGUUGUUCGGAUUCAUUGGGCGUAAAGGGUGCGUAGGCGGCGCGGUAAGUCGGGUGUGAAAUCUCGGAGCUUAACUCCGAAACUGCAUUCGAUACUGCCGUGCUUGAGGACUGGAGAGGAGACUGGAAUUUACGGUGUAGCGGUGAAAUGCGCAGAUAUCGGGAGGAACACCAGUAGCGAAGGCGACACUCUGGGCCGGUACUGACGCUGAGGAGCGAAAGCGUGGGGAGCAAACAGG